This is a long non-coding RNA of Limulus polyphemus (Atlantic horseshoe crab), 620 nucleotides long. RefSeq lists it as uncharacterized. The transcript is spliced from 2 exons. Lineage: Eukaryota; Metazoa; Arthropoda; Merostomata; Xiphosura; Limulidae. The record is from RefSeq and is a predicted model, not a curated record.
AUCUCCGUGUUAUUACUUUCCAGGUCUAGAUCUGGCUCUCGAGAAAGACGGCGUCGUAGGUCACGUUCGCCAUUGGACUCUCGGCGCAGGUCUCGCUCUAGAUCACGCUCUAGACAUUCCAGUUCUCGUGAUAGACGUUCCUCACGGGAGAGGAAAGACCGCGAAAAGGGACGUUCAAGUGAAAAGGAGAGAUUAAAAAGAAGCAAGUCCAAAGACAAGGAGACUAAGAACAGUGGAUCAGAUGAUGAGAAAAGAACAUGUAAAAGAGAUAAACAGUCUGAAGAAGAGAAUAAUUUGGAUAAUAAAAUAGACAAAUGAUAGUACAUAUGAGCAGUUCUCAAGCAUUAGUUAUGUGUUUUUUUUUUGUUUUACUUUUACAUAUACAGCUGUAUUCAUUGUAUUCUUUAUUUUAAAACAGAUCAUUAAAAAAAAAGAACUAUAUUGUAAGUGGUUAAGAUUACUUGAAGGGCUUUCUAAUACUCUGAAGAAACAGUUCUCUCCCAACUCUUGUGGACUUCAUUACAUUUUUGGCAUGGGCUUUAAACUGAAAAAUAUGUUUAUUGUAAGGAUUGUAUAGACUAUGUGUUUGUGAGUCAUAAUAAACUGGAUUAAUUACAUUA